UAAAGGAUAAGUUAAAUAAACUAUAAGAUUCAUGUUCUUAAAUUGAAGAUAUUUCUCCUUUAA
Molecule: transfer RNA, 63 nt
Filed under: Syndesmis kurakaikina
Lineage: Eukaryota; Metazoa; Platyhelminthes; Rhabdocoela; Umagillidae
Description: tRNA-Met
Source: RNAcentral